Molecule: ribosomal RNA, 301 nt
Filed under: uncultured bacterium
Lineage: Bacteria
Description: partial 16S ribosomal RNA
Rfam family: Bacterial small subunit ribosomal RNA
Source: RNAcentral
CAGUCGCCGCGGUAAUACGUAGGGUGCGAGCGUUAAUCGGAAUUACUGGGCGUAAAGCGUGCGCAGGCGGCUUUGCAAGACAGAUGUGAAAUCCCCGGGCUCAACCUGGGAACUGCAUUUGUGGCUGCAAGGCUAGAGUGCGGCAGAGGGAGAUGGAAUUCCGCGUAUAGCAGUGAAAUGCGUAGAUAUGCGGAAGAACACCGAUGGCGAAGGCAAUCUCCUGGGCCUGCACUGACGCUCAUGCACGAAAGCGUGGGGAGCAAACAGGAUUAGAGACCCGUGUAGUCCCUGUCUCUUAUAC